UACGUAGGGUGCGAGCGUUAAUCGGAAUUACUGGGCGUAAAGCGUGCGCAGGCGGUUCGUUGUGUCCGGUGUGAAAGCCCCGAGCUUAACUUGGGAAUGGCAUUGGAAACUGGCGAGCUGGAGUGUGGCAGAGGGGGGUGGAAUUCCACGUGUAGCAGUGAAAUGCGUAGAGAUGUGGAGGAACACCGAUGGCGAAGGCAGCCCCCUGGGCCAACACUGACGCUCAGGCACGAAGGCGUGGGGAGCGAACGGG
Molecule: ribosomal RNA, 253 nt
Filed under: uncultured bacterium
Lineage: Bacteria
Description: partial 16S ribosomal RNA
Rfam family: Bacterial small subunit ribosomal RNA
Source: RNAcentral